UCGGGACCGCGUUCGCAGAGAGCGAGAGCGAGGCGAGGCUCGAAUCGGCGUGAGUUCUUUCUUGGGUGUUCUUCCUUUUUUUUUUCCAGGGAAAAGGAAGAAAAUGGAGAGGAGCACGCCGGUGAGGAAGCCUCACACUUCGACUUCAUAUCUGCUCACGUGGUCGGAGACUCCGCCUCCCCACGAUUCGGUCGCGCCCGGUUCGGCUUCCUCUCGCUCCAAUGCUCACUUUCACCAGCCUUCGGAUGGGAUCAGCAAGGUGGUGUUUGGAGGUCAAGUGACUGCAGAGAAAUCUGAGAAUUUGAACAAAAGAAUAGUGCUUUUGUAAUCUUCUAGGAAGUCUUGUUCUGCCUACAAGUUGAAAGAAAUCACCGGAAGCACCGCGACAGGGCCCCCGACGUGGUCGUCACCAAGGCCAGGGACCGUGUCAAAGAGUUUUAUAUGUUUGAGAUUAUAAGUAUAGACGGAGGAGCAUCAAAGAGUUGCAGAAGAUGCUUCACAGAUGCAACGAGCAACUUCGACAGUUAAGUCAUGUAAACAAGAAAGCACUUGAUCAGUACGUGAACUUCACAAAGCAAAGGAAGUGAGUAUCUCACAUGAACCGUGUCUUUAGUUUUGUUCAAUAUUUAUAUGAUGGAGAUUGUCGCUAAAAGCCGGAUAUUCUUUUUUGAUUCAUUUCUGUCGUCAUUGUUUAUUGUGCAAGAUUAGUUAUUAUGCAAGAUUAUUUAUUCUCUCAUUAUGUGUACUAUAAAGAAAAAUAUUUAUGUCA
Syzygium oleosum is the source of this 769-nucleotide RNA transcript. RefSeq lists it as uncharacterized. The record is from RefSeq and is a predicted model, not a curated record. Lineage: Eukaryota; Viridiplantae; Streptophyta; Magnoliopsida; Myrtales; Myrtaceae. The transcript has 3 exons.